AUGUAUGGGGAGUCGGAGACGGCGAGGAAGGUGGAAACAUGGAGGACUCUUAGAAUUCUUGGGCAACAACACCAGCAGGGUAGACCUUGGCUAUGCCUAGGUGAUUUUAAUGAGAUUUUAACUGCAGAUGAGAAGAUCGGUGGGGCGGCCCGACCCCAACAGUUCAUGGAGAGAUUUAGGGAGGCACUGGUGGGCUGUGAUCUGAGUGAUAUUGGCUUCAUAGGCGACAAAUUUACUUGGCGCAAUCACAACAUAUGUGAAAGAAUCGAUAGGGUAACUGCAAAUGACAACUGGUGCACAUCAUUUCCUGAGUUUUGUGUGGAGAAUGGUAUACCGCGUCAUUCUGACCAUAGGCCAGUGGUGGUGCAAACCGAAGGGGAAGCUAGGAGGAAUCAAGGAGGAGACAGAAAAUUCAGAUUUGAAGCAUGGUGGCUCAAAGAGGAGGGUUGCUCUGAAGUUAUACAGGACGCGUGGGAGCAGGGGUGGUUGAAGGAAGGAUGCAAUGUGGCUACGGCCAUGUGUGAGAUUGCUGGUAGUAUGAAGCGUUGGAGUAAGGAGGUGGCCGGAGAGUUGGAGUGCAGGGUGAAGGAGGCGAAGGUCAAGCUUGAAAGGUGUAUGAGGAGCCCAGUCUCUGAAGAAAAGGUUGGGGAAGAGGCGAGGUUGAGGAUGGUACUUGCAGACUUAGAAGACAAAAGGAACACGAAAGCAAAGCAACGGUCACAUAUCUCCUGGCUGAGGGAAGCAAACCGAAAUAACAACACGAAGUAUUAUAUGGCGGUGGCAUCCAAUAGAAGGAAAACAAAUCGGAUCAAGCUGCUUCGCAAGGAGAAUGGGGAGGAGGUGAAGGAAGGAGAGGGGAUGACUAACUACGUUUGUUCAUUUUUUUAG
This 888-nucleotide ribosomal RNA is filed under the name Triticum aestivum (bread wheat). Its description in RNAcentral is "partial small subunit ribosomal RNA". The record is from RNAcentral. Lineage: Eukaryota; Viridiplantae; Streptophyta; Magnoliopsida; Poales; Poaceae.